Molecule: transfer RNA, 75 nt
Filed under: bacterium
Lineage: Bacteria
Description: tRNA-Asn
Rfam family: tRNA
About the family: Transfer RNA (tRNA) molecules are approximately 80 nucleotides in length.
Source: RNAcentral
UCCCCGGUGGCGCAAUGGUAGCGCAACUCCCUGUUAAGGAGUGGGUUGUAGGUUCGAAUCCUACCCGGGGAGCCA